This 469-nucleotide ribosomal RNA is filed under the name uncultured bacterium. RNAcentral describes it as "bacterial SSU rRNA". It matches the Rfam family "Bacterial small subunit ribosomal RNA", at positions 923 to 1397 of the family's 1533-position model. The record is from RNAcentral.
GACGCCAGCGGUGGAGCAUGUUGUUUAUUCGAAAAUACGCGAAGAACCUUACCUAGGCUUGACAUCCCUGGCAAAGCUAUAGAAAUAUAGUGGAGGUUAUCCAGGUGACAGGUGGUGCAUGGUUGUCGUCAGCUCGUGUCGUGAGAUGUUCAGUUAAGUCUGCUAACGAGCGCAACCCUUGUCGAUAGUUGCUAACAUUUAGUUGAGAACUCUAUCGAGACUGCCGGUAUUAAACCGGAGGAAAGGUGGGGAUGACGUCAAAUCAUCAUGCCCCUUACGUCUAGGGCAACAGGCGUGCUACAAUGGCUGGUACAAUGAGUCGCAAAACCGCGAGGUGGAGCUAAUCUCCAAAGCCAGUCUCAGUUCGGAUUGAAGUCUGCAACUCGACUUCAUGAAGCUGAAAUCGCUAGUAAUCCCGGAUCAGAAUGCCGGGGUGAAUACGUUCUCGGGUGUUGUACACACCGCCCGU